This 128-nucleotide non-coding RNA is filed under the name Rhodobacteraceae bacterium KLH11. RNAcentral's name for it is "Ruegeria cis8 sRNA". It matches the Rfam family "Ruegeria cis8 sRNA". Rfam says of the family: Cis-encoded. Targets hypothetical protein. Lineage: Bacteria; Pseudomonadati; Pseudomonadota; Alphaproteobacteria; Rhodobacterales; Paracoccaceae. The record is from Rfam by way of RNAcentral.
ACCGUCAACACUUUGGCAAUGUACGGGAUCAGAGGCAGAUUCAGGAUCAGCAGCACCAGAUUGCCGAUAAACAUCGACAUGAUGACCGCCCAGAAGAUCUGCGGAUCGUCGAUCAUCAGGCGCGGCCC